RNAcentral lists this ribosomal RNA (582 nucleotides) under Sulcispora supratumida. RNAcentral describes it as "eukaryotic LSU rRNA". The stretch from base 245 to 398 matches the Rfam family "5.8S ribosomal RNA". The record is from RNAcentral. Lineage: Eukaryota; Fungi; Ascomycota; Dothideomycetes; Pleosporales; Pleosporaceae.
UGGAAGUAAAAGUCGUAACAAGGUUUCCGUAGGUGAACCUGCGGAAGGAUCAUUACUUUCAGUAGUUUACUACUGUUUUGAGGGAGGUGGAAAUUUCUUGGGCCUAGCUCGAGGAAUAGUACACGCCCUCUUUAUACCCUUGUCUUUUUGCGCACUCAUGUUUCCUCGGUAGGCUUGCCUGCCGGUCGGACAUUUAAUAACCUUUUUAAUCUUCAAUCAGCGUCUGAACAAUUAUAAUAAUUACAACUUUCAACAACGGAUCUCUUGGUUCUGGCAUCGAUGAAGAACGCAGCGAAAUGCGAUAAGUAGUGUGAAUUGCAGAAUUCAGUGAAUCAUCGAAUCUUUGAACGCACAUUGCGCCCCUUGGUAUUCCAUGGGGCAUGCCUGUUCGAGCGUCAUUUGUACUCUCAAGCUAUGCUUGGUGUUGGGUGUUUGUCUGUGCUUUAUGCUUAGACUCGCCUUAAAUAUAUUGGCAGCCGAUAUAUUGGUUUGAAGCGCAGCACAAUUUGCGAAUCUUGCCUUUAAUAUUAGCCCCCAUAAAGUAUAAUUAACACUUUGACCUCGGAUCAGGUAGGAGCGGCA